CCUACGGGGCGCAGCAGUGAGGAAUAUUGGUCAAUGGCCGUAAGGCUGAACCAGCCAAGCCGCGUGAAGGAAGAAGGAUCCAUGGUUUGUAAACUUCUUUUAUAGGGGAACAAAAGUAUCCACGAGUGGCUAUUUGCAUGUACCCUAUGAAAAAGCAUCGGCUAACUCCGUGCCAGCAGCCGCGGUAAUACGGAGGAUGCGAGCGUUAUCCGGAUUUAUUGGGUUUAAAGGGUGCGUAGGUUGUGUUUUAAGUCAGCGGUGAAAGCUUGUGGCUCAACCACUAGAGUGCCGUUGAAACUGGCAGACUUGAGUGGGCGUGAGGUAGGCGGAAUGCGUGGUGUAGCGGUGAAAUGCAUAGAUAUUGCGCAGAACUCCGAUUGCGAAGGCAGCAUAC
This 394-nucleotide ribosomal RNA is filed under the name uncultured bacterium. RNAcentral's name for it is "partial 16S ribosomal RNA". It matches the Rfam family "Bacterial small subunit ribosomal RNA", at positions 338 to 729 of the family's 1533-position model. The record is from RNAcentral.